GGUCCCCUGGCCCAGUGGUACGGCGCUAGACUUCGAAUCUAGAGAUCGCGGGUUCGAUCCCCGCGGGGAUCU
This 72-nucleotide transfer RNA is filed under the name Leucosporidium creatinivorum. RNAcentral's name for it is "Leucosporidiella creatinivora tRNA". It matches the Rfam family "tRNA". Rfam says of the family: Transfer RNA (tRNA) molecules are approximately 80 nucleotides in length. Their secondary structure includes four short double-helical elements and three loops (D, anti-codon, and T loops). The record is from Rfam by way of RNAcentral. Lineage: Eukaryota; Fungi; Basidiomycota; Microbotryomycetes; Leucosporidiales; Leucosporidiaceae.